AGUGAACGCUGGCGGUAGGCCUAACACAUGCAAGUCGAACGGCAGCACAGUAAGAGCUUGCUCUUACGGGUGGCGAGUGGCGGACGGGUGAGGAAUACAUCGGAAUCUACUUUUUCGUGGGGGAUAACGUAGGGAAACUUACGCUAAUACCGCAUACGACCUACGGGUGAAAGCAGGGGAUCUUCGGACCUUGCGCGAUUGAAUGAGCCGAUGUCGGAUUAGCUAGUUGGCGGGGUAAAGGCCCACCAAGGCGACGAUCCGUAGCUGGUCUGAGAGGAUGGUCAGCCACAAUGGAACUGAGACACGGACCAGACUCCUGAGGGAGGCAGCAGUGGGGAAUGGUGGACAAUGGGCGCAAGGCUGAUCCAGCCAUACCGCGUGGGUGAAGAAGGCCUUCGGGUUGUAAAGCCGUUUUGUUGGGAAAGAAAAGCAGCAGGUUAAUACCCAGCUGUUCUGACGGUACCCAAAGAAUAAGCACCGGCUAACUUCGUG
Molecule: ribosomal RNA, 492 nt
Filed under: uncultured bacterium
Lineage: Bacteria
Description: partial 16S ribosomal RNA
Rfam family: Bacterial small subunit ribosomal RNA
Source: RNAcentral